ACAUGAUAUCUUAUCAUUCACAGAAAAAGAUCGUACUACUUCUAACAACACUCUCAUUUAGAAUAUCUUUGCGUUGAUUUCACCAACUUAAAAAAGCAGAAAUCGAUGAUAAUGAUAACCACUACCCAAAUGAUAAAGUGCGUCUUUCCAAUAGUGGAUGGACCAUAAAGCCCAUCACCGCUUUUCCUAUUGUCUCACCAAUGAUGUAUCAUCUUCUUUUUGCUUUGCUGCGGGGUGAGCUGGAAACACAAGCUGCUUUUUGUCAAAACUAUUGACAUUUCCGAGUAAAAGUGGUUGGCAAAGCCCCACAUUGGCUUCCGAGAAUUCAUUGUGAAAUAUUCCGACCGACAAUCAAACGCCUUCCUAUCUCGGAAAGUCGAUGGGUGCUACGGGGAACAUUCGAAGUCCUCGCAGCUAUCACAGGGUGCGUGUCGGUAACGACGUUCAUCAUUCCUUCUUCCUGUCUCAGCAAAAAUCCCCCCCAUCACCCGCCGAGGAGCGGAAUUUAGGGGACCAUAUCAAGUCGAUGCCUUCGGGAAAUUGGCUUGCAAGACAAGAGUGGCGGAAAUUGAUUUGCGACUGCGGCGUCGAGUAGAUAGAUUGAAAAAGGGUUUGUCUAUGUAUUUUCGAAAAUGGGACGGAGUGGAAGGAUCAUGAUUGUAGAACAAUGGCCCCAUGUGGCAGCGGAGAAGAAUGGCCUCGGAGGUGGGAGGGAGGAUAAUGGCGAGGCGCUUGGGACAAGAUUCCAGGAGGCAAAAUUAAAUUGCAAGAGGAAACGAUCGCAGGAGUAGAAGGAGCACCCCAGUGUCGGCUCUUCACGAAGGAGGAUAAAGCGGCAUUUUGCGAUUUAUUAACGUAGGUGCAGGUGCCUUAACGAUCAGCUGCAAAUGGAAACUGCCAUUACAUAUUCCAACAAUGUGAGGGCAAUGGACCUGAGUCCGUCAGCAGUCAGUAUUGACUGCUUUGUUUAGAAGUCGUUUAGAUCGUCAAAAAAUAAUUUUGAUUGAGGGAGCUUGUCACACAAUACAUGAUUUGAAAGAUUGUCGUAAUUGUCAAUUCGCAGCUGAACAGGAUGGAGCAAAAGGAAUUUCUGCAACUCGUUUGAUUUAACAGGUCUGGGAAUGUUACAACACAAAAUGGUUAUCUACUUUUAUGGCAACAUGUACUGUUCACAACAGUUCCAUGGCAGUACUUUGAAUUUUGGGAAGUCAGCACGACCCUACAUGUUUUGGAUGAGGUCUGGCUGUCUUUCCGAUGGAAUUUCUUAAUGACAUGAAUACAUAUCACGUCAAAGUUGCAACCAAAGUUUGUAGUUUUGCAAGGAUGAAGUUUUGAUUUGUAGAAUUUCGUCAUGAGGAUGUAUCUAGUCGUUCUGUGUGAAACAUUGAACAGCUCUCUCAAGAUUUAGAUGUUGGCAGUAUCUUUUGUAUCACAAAUUCUUCAAGUUGGCAGCAAUUCUGCUAACCCUAGCCGGUACUGACUAGCUUACUUAGUAUUUUUGCGUUGAAGCAGAUGGUGGAAGUUUUUGUUCUCAUUUUGAGGGCCGACAAAAAUUCACCCACUGUAGCUGUGCAGCUAUUGCUAACGCUGAUUAUUAUGAUACAAAUUUUUACGCUUCGAACACGCCAUAUUUAUGUAUUAAGUCUGAAUCUCACUCAUGCAGGGGAAUAGGGGAGGCGUCAUAUCGUUUUUUUCUUUUUUCUUCUCUUUAAUUAUUUUGUCCAACAGAACAUGGUUGCUACCGACAGUCGAAGUCGUAUCUUAGUGGAUCUUAUAGCUUGUUUUUAUUUUCAUGAAGUAAAGGCCGAAUCUUAUACUCGGACUCAUCACGACAUUGAUCACAUUAUCAAGUGCAAGUCGUGCAUCCAUGCAUUGGCAUAUCAAAUUGAGUCACUAACCUCAUUACGUUACAGGCGAAGUACUUGAACACUUGUGACCUGUGUCUCGAAUCUCCUGAACAUGUGCAGUCAACUUUUUUCAGCAGUUACAACACUAACCGUCUAAUUUCCUUCCCUUUUGAUCUAAACCAUGAAUAGCAUCUCGCUUAUCGUAUCAUGUUCCUUGGGAAACAUAACACUGCACCAACCUCUUGUCACCAUUACGCUUCCAUUUAGCCCAUCCAUUUUGAACAAACUGUUGAGUCACAGUUAAUCAUGGUCACUUGGAAGAUUUUAACAAUGUGUUAUCAUCUCGCUAUUUUUCUGCAUAUUCAUGAAGUACCCCAUCCACUCUGAUAGGUUUGUGCGGCACCCCAGGUAGACAACAGCAACAGAUGUCCUUGUAUUCUCUACAAGUCUCCUUUUCUUCAUAUCCUACUUGCUUUGCAGUGCAGAAUGAUUUCAUUCUCCUUUUACAGUGAAGCUGUGAAGGUCGUUCGCCAUGAAGAGGGCGUGGUUUGCGUUGCUAUUCGAACAAUUAAGUUCACUGUAUAUAGUGGUUAGUUCAGAAUAGCUCUGUAAAUUUUGUGCUUUAAAUUUUUGGGUAAGUUUCUAAAAUUCCAUUGAAGCUUAUGACUUUUCUAGGGCAGCAAUCCUUUGCCCUGUAUGAUCUCUUUUAGCAAAUAAUCAUCCUUGUUAUUCUUCGGUUCAGAGACCCAGAUGCAUCUGUAGAAGCACGACUGAUAGAGACCAUAGAAUCGCAUUUGUUUAUUGAUGAGCAUCUUAACUAUUCUUCAUGUGUUGUUCAAAUUCAUUACUGACAUUAUCCUGAUGUUGAUUGUCUUACGUCACAAAGUUGUUUACAUGACCAGUAUACCAGAUUCUGAAGAAACAUUGGGAAGGCUGAAAGAAUCUGUAGCUGAAAUCGGGGACCUAAUGUUGGGUCGAUAUUGCAGGAUCAACAUAACAGCACUUCGACAUCGCUACAUCUUCUAUAGUGACUGCUGCAUAUCCUGCACCACAAAAAUUUCCUCAACUGCAUAGGAGCUUUAAUUUCAAGGAUGCACCGUCCAGUUCCUCCCGAGUGAAAACUUCAAUAUUCUGACUGCGCUUUAAAUUGGCAGGGUGAAGCUAGCAGUUUCGAUGGAGAGCGGAAGGAGGACCACUACCUGAUAAUUCAGCUCUACACAACUGGGCAGCUUCGGACGAGACAUUGUUACACGCUCUUUGAAGUCUUCCACGCUAGAAAAAGGAAUGAGAAGUUUUUUUUGAUACGUCGCACCCACGUUUUGUUUACUUGCUACCACCCUUGUAUGUAUUGAAAUUGUAGCUUUGCAGUGUUUUGCAACAUUGUCAAUUAUGGAGUGUACACUAAUGUCUACCUCAUAUUAGUAUGAAUUUGCUUCAAUCGGUAUGUAAAACUGCUACUUAUGUUAUAUUCCGUAAUUCCUGAGGUCAAAUUGGAAUUGUAUUCGUUUAUCUAAGAAUCUGGUCUUGUUUAUUGGUGCUGGUUGAUACAUCUACAAUGUGUCCAAAAUCUUUUGGUUUGCUCUCUAGUGUAAAGAACUGGACGCUCCUCUGCUCCAGAGAAUCACUUCGUUUGUUUUGAUGCCUAACACUCGAACUUAUCACUUCUUCAGUCUCAUAAUAGUCGUUGCUUUAGAUAGUUGCAUUGGUACUCUCAUUAUUUCCCUUGUCAUGCAAGUUCUCUUCUAAUCUAUUGAAGAAUCUGGUUGAAAUUUUGAAGUUUCAUUGUUCACACUCGACAAAAUUCGGAUAAGUGAGCCAUAGGAAUUUCGGAUGGUCUGGAAUUUGCAGCCUAGAGUGAAUGAAAAAUAUGCAACUGGACCGCAUCAACGCCUUCGAUAGCCCCACCAAACCCAGGCUGAGAGGAAGCAGUUGUGGAUGAGGAAGGUGAAUGGGUAGAAGCUUCGGAUGCGAAAAGAAUGUUGCGAUCGUAGUGACCGAAUGGCAUCACUGAAAUUCACUUCCAGAUUUGCUACAGCGGUUCUGCCAAGGGAGAGGCGUCGCAACAAACACAGCAGUCUGGCUGAAAGAAAUUGAACUUCGAAAUGCCAGUUCGCAGGAAUGCAUUUGUCAUUUCGUUUGACACCGAUGGUGCCCGAAUAAGAGCUAAUGGAACAUCAUGUGACGUAACCUCACUGUCGGCAUACCAUGCUUGUGGUGUUGAUCGGUAGAAGUUGAUUGCCAUAAAACCAGAAGUAGACGGUUCAGCACAGGCUAGGAAUCCAGCUUGUGUUACCUUAGUUUCUGUGUACAUGCUUACAUCGGUGGUAAGUCCUGCAGCAGAAGUCAAUCGACUGUUUCCUUGGCCGAUUCAUCACCAUAAGAAGGAAGAAGACACUCCCCUUGCCUGUGAUACUCCUCACAAUUGUGGCAACAGGAUGUUUUCUCAAGAGGAAUCGCUUGAUGCUGUCCAUUGUUAAGCAGGUCGAUCCUUAGAUCCGAUCAUCAUAUUAUUAGAACGAUUACCAUAAGAAGGGUUUUUUAGAACUAGAAGCCUGUGGAAUUCUGCUCUUGCUGAUUGAAGAAACUUAAGAUGUAGACUCGCUCUCUCUCUCUCUCUGAUGGAACAACUAACGUUGCAUGCCUUCAACUGGGGUGCUUUGCUUCUUUCAGCUUUUCCUCCUUCAAGCAAACGGUUAGCAAGAGUCUCGAUACAGCGAUUAUGUUCAAGAAUGUCAUGCAAUACGGUGUCAAGGCAGUUAAGUUUUGCAAGAGCUUUGGAAAUGAUCGUAGAAAAGAAAGAGCCAUGUAGUUGACUGUUACAAUUGUCAAGGUCUUGAACAAUAAUACUAUCACCGACAGGUUCGUCAAAGAGCUUUUUGUGGGUACGAUGAAAUGAACAAUGAAGACUUAUUGUUUGAAAGAACAGCGAGACCAAUACCUGUUAUACAGCACCAAAUACUCUGUUGACUAGUUUAUAUAUAUAUAUAUAUAUAUAUAUAUAUAUGUUUUAAGAAUUUCAUGUCAC
Physcomitrium patens is the source of this 4872-nucleotide non-coding RNA. The record is from RefSeq and is a predicted model, not a curated record. NCBI's taxonomy places the organism in Eukaryota, Viridiplantae, Streptophyta, Bryopsida, Funariales, Funariaceae.